UGGGGAAUAUUGGACAAUGGGCGACAGCCUGAUCCAGCCAUGCCGCGUGUGUGAAGAAGGUCUUCGGAUUGUAAAGCACUUUAAGUUGGGAGGAAGGGCAUUAACCUAAUACGUUAGUGUUUUGACGUUACCGACAGAAUAAGCACCGGCUAACUCUGUGCCAGCAGCCGCGGUAAUACAGAGGGUGCAAGCGUUAAUCGGAAUUACUGGGCGUAAAGCGCGCGUAGGUGGUUUGUUAAGUUGGAUGUGAAAUCCCCGGGCUCAACCUGGGAACUGCAUUCAAAACUGACUGACUAGAGUAUGGUAGAGGGUGGUGGAAUUUCCUGUGUAGCGGUGAAAUGCGUAGAUAUAGGAAGGAACACCAGUGGCGAAGGCGACCACCUGGACUAAUACUGACACUGAGGUGCGAAAGCGUGGGGAGCAAACA
RNAcentral lists this ribosomal RNA (427 nucleotides) under uncultured bacterium. Its description in RNAcentral is "partial 16S ribosomal RNA". It matches the Rfam family "Bacterial small subunit ribosomal RNA", at positions 355 to 774 of the family's 1533-position model. The record is from RNAcentral.